AGAGUUUGAUCCUGGCUCAGGAUGAACGCUGGCGGCGUGCUUAACACAUGCAAGUCGAACGAAGCAGCAUGGAACGAAUCUUCGGAGGAGGGAAAUGGUGACUGAGUGGCGGACGGGUGAGUAACGCGUGGGUAACCUGCCUCGUACAGGGGGACAACAGUUGGAAACGACUGCUAAUACCGCAUAAGCGCACGAUACUGCAUGGUAUUGUGUGAAAAACUGAGGUGGUACGAGAUGGACCCGCGUCUGAUUAGCUGGUUGGUGGGGUAACGGCCUACCAAGGCGACGAUCAGUAGCCGACCUGAGAGGGUGACCGGCCACAUUGGGACUGAGACACGGCCCAAACUCCUACGGGAGGCAGCAGUGGGGAAUAUUGCACAAUGGGGGAAACCCUGAUGCAGCGACGCCGCGUGAAGGAAGAAGUAUUUCGGUAUGUAAACUUCUAUCAGCAGGGAAGAAAAUGACGGUACCUGAGUAAGAAGCCCCGGCUAACUACGUG
This 499-nucleotide ribosomal RNA is filed under the name uncultured Lachnospiraceae bacterium. Its description in RNAcentral is "bacterial SSU rRNA". It matches the Rfam family "Bacterial small subunit ribosomal RNA", at positions 8 to 507 of the family's 1533-position model. Lineage: Bacteria; Bacillati; Bacillota; Clostridia; Lachnospirales; Lachnospiraceae. The record is from RNAcentral.